AACGCGAAGAACCUUACCAGGUCUUGACAUGCACUGGACCGGCGCUGAAAGGCGCUUUUCCCGCAAGGGACCGGUGCACAGGUGCUGCAUGGCUGUCGUCAGCUCGUGUCGUGAGAUGUUGCGUUAAGUCGCGCAACGAGCGCAACCCCUGUCCUUAGUUGCCAUCAUUAAGUUGGGCACUCUAGGGAGACAAACCCUCUUUGAGGGUGGGAAGGUGGGGAUGACGUCAAGUCAGGAUGGCCCUUACGACCUGGGCUGCACACGUGCUACAAUGCCCAGUACAGAGGGAAGCAAGACCGCGAGGUGGAGCAAAUCCUCAAAACUGGGCCCAGUUCAGAUUGUAGUCUGCAACUCGACUACAUGAAGUUGGAAUCGCUAGUAAUGGCGCAUCAGCUACGGCGCCGUGAAUACGUUCCCGGGCCUUGUA
This 427-nucleotide ribosomal RNA is filed under the name uncultured Verrucomicrobiota bacterium. RNAcentral's name for it is "bacterial SSU rRNA". It matches the Rfam family "Bacterial small subunit ribosomal RNA", at positions 958 to 1385 of the family's 1533-position model. The record is from RNAcentral. Lineage: Bacteria; Pseudomonadati; Verrucomicrobiota.